Molecule: ribosomal RNA, 141 nt
Filed under: uncultured Acidobacteriota bacterium
Lineage: Bacteria; Pseudomonadati; Acidobacteriota
Description: uncultured Acidobacteria bacterium partial 16S ribosomal RNA
Source: RNAcentral
CCCAAGGCAGCCAACCCGAAUCCAGCACACCCGCGGAAGCAAGAAGGCGCCACGCCGCGUGACCUAUUAAGCCCUUGAGCGUAAAGCCGGCUUCACGGGACGCGACUGACGGUACCGGAAGAAGAAGCACCGCUAUCCCCC